Molecule: long non-coding RNA, 707 nt
Filed under: Phoenix dactylifera (date palm)
Lineage: Eukaryota; Viridiplantae; Streptophyta; Magnoliopsida; Arecales; Arecaceae
Description: long non-coding RNA (PDAC_LNC019190)
Source: RNAcentral
AUGCCCAGAUGGAAUUUUAAUUUAGCUUCAACAGUUGGAUCUCUAGCAACACAACAGCAGAUCCGAUAGAAGUUGCCUCUCCAAACCCACUCUGUCAACUUCUAAAGAUAUGCCAAAACAAGUUCUCCAAGCAACACUCCCCCUUAAUCAAGUUCAGAUGGCCUGACUGUUGGCAAGGCUGCUAUCACAAUCAGCAAACCAACUCCCUAUUUCAAUAAGAAGUCCAUGAGAACUCCUUUUCCAUGUUUUGAAUUCUCACGAUCUAAUUUGUCAAUUUUUACAGCGACGAUAGCCGUGGGUGGCAUCGGGCUAGUUGUGAUGGCGAUACUGACCGUCAGGGGUGUCCAUAUAUAAGAUCAGAAUGCAGUCAAUCAAUGCUUCAAGGCAGAUAGACAGCAGCACCAUCACAACCACACAACUGAUAUCUGCAAUGCACAAGGACUCGACAUUUGAAAUGGAACCGAUCGAGAAGUCCGUUGAGGACAUCCGAAGGUAGCAGUUAAGGUCCUCUAAAGAGCUGAGGAGCAAGUCAUGGCAGAAGUUGGUACAGUUGAAGAACUUGGUCAAGCUCUCUUGGAUUCUGCUUCAAUAAAAUGGUGAAAGCACUAUGAGUACAUGGAGAGUGGAUCACUUAACUAACACUUAUUUGAUCAGAUCCACAGCAUUGAACUGAGAGAGUCACAUGAGAUUGCAAGUCUUCAAACUUU